This 73-nucleotide transfer RNA is filed under the name Anaerolineae bacterium. Its description in RNAcentral is "tRNA-Glu". It matches the Rfam family "tRNA". Rfam says of the family: Transfer RNA (tRNA) molecules are approximately 80 nucleotides in length. Their secondary structure includes four short double-helical elements and three loops (D, anti-codon, and T loops). Further hydrogen bonds mediate the characteristic L-shaped molecular structure. tRNAs have two regions of fundamental functional importance: the anti-codon, which is responsible for specific mRNA codon recognition, and the 3' end, to which the tRNAs corresponding amino acid is attached (by aminoacyl-tRNA synthetases). tRNAs cope with the degeneracy of the genetic code in two manners: having more than one tRNA (with a specific anti-codon) for a particular amino acid; and 'wobble' base-pairing, i.e. permitting non-standard base-pairing at the 3rd anti-codon position. The record is from RNAcentral. Lineage: Bacteria; Bacillati; Chloroflexota; Anaerolineae. RNAcentral also lists the same sequence under 2 other names.
GCCCCCAUCGUCUAGGGGACUAGGACGUGGCCCUUUCAAGGCCAAGACCGGGGUUCGAAUCCCCGUGGGGGCA